Molecule: ribosomal RNA, 393 nt
Filed under: uncultured bacterium
Lineage: Bacteria
Description: partial 16S ribosomal RNA
Rfam family: Bacterial small subunit ribosomal RNA
Source: RNAcentral
AUACGGAGGAUCCGAGCGUUAUCCGGAUUUAUUGGGUUUAAAGGGUGCGUAGGCGGCCUUUUAAGUCAGCGGUGAAAGUCUGUGGCUCAACCAUAGAAUUGCCGUUGAUACUGGGUGGCUUGAUUGCGGUCGAGGUUGGCGGAAUUCGUUGUGUAGCGGUGAAAUGCAUAGAUAUGACGAAGAACACCGAUUGCGUAGGCAGCUGACCAGACCGCAAAUGACGCUCAUGCACGAAAGUGCGGGGAUCGAACAGGAUUAGAUACCCUGGUAGUCCGCACAGUAAACGAUGAAUACUUGUUUUCGGCGAUAUAAUGUCGGAGGCAAAGCGAAAGCGAUAAGUAUUCCACCUGGGGAGUACGCCGGCAACGGUGAAACUCAAAUGAAUUGACGGGG